GAUGAACGCUGGCGGUAUGCCUAACACAUGCAAGUCGUACGAGAGUUUUUAACUCUAGUGGCGACGGAUGAGUAACACGUGAGAAUUUGCCUUCAGGAGGGGGACAACAAUUGGAAACGAAUGCUAAUACCCCAUAUGCUUUCGAGUGAAAUGGAUUUUAUCCGCCUAGAGAGAAGCUCGCGGCUGAUUAGCUUGUUGGUAAGGUAAGAGCUUACCAAGGCGACGAUCAGUAUCUGGUUUGAGAGGACGAUCAGACACACUGGAACUGAGACACGGUCCAGACUCCUACGGGAGGCAGCAGUGGGGAAUUUUCCGCAAUGGGCGAAAGCCUGACGGAGCAAUACCGCGUGAGGGAAGAAUGCCUAUGGGUUGUAAACCUCUUUUUUCAGGGAGGAAUAAAAUGACGUGUACCUGAAGAAUAAGCAUCGGCUAACUCCGUG
This 440-nucleotide ribosomal RNA is filed under the name uncultured bacterium. RNAcentral describes it as "bacterial SSU rRNA". It matches the Rfam family "Bacterial small subunit ribosomal RNA", at positions 28 to 507 of the family's 1533-position model. The record is from RNAcentral.